RNAcentral lists this ribosomal RNA (459 nucleotides) under uncultured bacterium. RNAcentral's name for it is "bacterial SSU rRNA". It matches the Rfam family "Bacterial small subunit ribosomal RNA", at positions 29 to 507 of the family's 1533-position model. The record is from RNAcentral.
AUUGAACGCUGGCGGCAUGCUUUACACAUGCAAGUCGAACGGUAACAGGGAGCUUGCUCCGCUGACGAGUGGCGAACGGGUGAGUAAUGCAUCGGAACGUACCCAGUCGUGGGGGAUAACGUAGCGAAAGUUACGCUAAUACCGCAUACGUCCUGAGGGAGAAAGCGGGGGACCGUAAGGCCUCGCGCGAUUGGAGCGGCCGAUGUCGGAUUAGCUAGUUGGUGGGGUAAAGGCCUACCAAGGCGACGAUCCGUAGCGGGUCUGAGAGGAUGAUCCGCCACACUGGGACUGAGACACGGCCCAGACUCCUACGGGAGGCAGCAGUGGGGAAUUUUGGACAAUGGGGGCAACCCUGAUCCAGCCAUGCCGCGUGAGCGAUGAAGGCCUUCGGGUCGUAAAGCUCUGUCCUCAAGGAAGAUAAUGACGGUACUUGAGGAGGAAGCCCCGGCUAACUACGUG